GGAGGGCGUCGCGAUGGGCGGGGCGGAGCUUGUGUGAUCAUCCUAGCACCUUGGAUCCCGGGCAGUUUUUCAGAACACUGAUAUCUAUGGACUCUAUCAUGGACUUCAUUUAAAGAAAUCCACGGACCAUUAAUGGACAAAAACAUGAAUCAAUUUGUAUUGUGGCAUUCAAAUCCUAGCACUUUGGGAAAGCAUCAAGUACAAGUUUUUGAAGACCUUGGGGCCUACCAUCAUUACGCAUUCAAGAUUUGAGUUUGAAUAACUUCAUCAAGACUUAGAUCCUCUUCAAAAGCCUCAAGUCUCAUCUGUAUUAAAGCUCUCCAUUGAACUCUCUCACAAAAGUAAAAGCUUAAAGGGACUGAAAUCCAUUAAUACGUUCCAUUUGAUAUCCUUUCCUCUGAUUUCUCUUCAAUUUCCUUGGCCUUUAGGGUCUUUCAUAUUGUUUAUGUUCCUUUAGACUGGAGCCAAGGAAAAAGUGCUUUCCAAAAGAAUAUAUGUCCUGCGGCCAUAAAUUUUCAUUGGUAGAGAGGCAUAAACUUGGCUUAAGUUUAGAAUCAGGUUUUUUGUUGUAUCCUAUAAAAACUUCAGUUAACAAUAAGAAAAUGAAGAUGAAGGGGUAAAAAUAUUUGAGGUCAGAUUAUACUCUCAUAGGCUAUGUGGUUUAGAGAAAAGAGCCUUCAACCUAAAAGUUAAUGCUUCUUAUUCUUUCUGCCUCUUGCUAGAUAUUUGAUAACUGAGAAAGUCACUUAACCUCUCUGAACCUUAACUUCAUCUGUAAAGUAAAUCUGAUAAUAAUUUCCCUGCCUACCUCACAGGGUUGUUGUGAGGAUCCAAUGAAAUAAUGUACGUAAAAAGGACUUUUAUAUAAAAUGUGCGGUACAGACCUAGGGUCCUGUUACAUAGUUGUGAGCUGGGAAUCCUCGGCUCUUGGGCCUGGGAAGGUAGGUGGUUUAAGCACACUGAAAGCAGGUACCGUGUCCAGGCUGGAUACAUGGUAACCAGGCUAUGUUAAUUUUUGUUUUCGGUGAGUACCUAGAGUAUUCUUGUGGGCUAAUUCUAAGAAGGAGGAAGACUAUCAAUUUCCCUAAAAUUAUAAAUUAGCAUUGAUAAUGCUGUAAAGCAGUUAUGUGUUCUAACAUAUUUGUGGUUUGCAAAAUUUGUUUACUAAGUUGUGACCAGCAAUUUUUUAAAUGAAAGAACAUAGAGCAGAAAAUUUCACAAUGCAUCCCACAUGGUAAGAGUAAAUAUUGUUUUAAUUAUAUAUACGUGUGAAUGUGUGUGUGUUUGUCCUUGUGUAUUUGGUCGUUAAAUAAAAUGCAUUUUUUCCUAUGAGUUGCAGUCACUGAUCUAGGAGUAUCAUUUUAGUACUAAUGUCUUUCUAUGCAUUUGGAUUUUUACGAGACUCCGUGUUUCUUUUCACUUCAUGCUACUACUUAUGGCAAAAGAAUUAACAGUUAAUAUCAGUUUGACUUCUGGUCUAAUUAAUGAGAUAGUGUUUAAUUUCAGAGUGCAGAGAAAGCCUAUCGGCCUUCUGGGUAUUUUAUUUAAUAUUCUAAUACCAUCUACUCUGACACCCAGACUGUUAUAACAUUUAAUGUUGGUUCAACCUCAUACUAGUAGAAAGAUUGUAUGAAAUGUUUUUUCUUUUUAAAAUUUUUUACUUUUAUCUUUCUGGCCUAAUGGAAAACAACCCCCCCCCACUUAGUUUAGCGUUGUUUGGGGACUCCAUGGAGAUAGGCUAUAGAGAAUACAGUUAGCAUGACUAGGAGUUUGAUGGUCUCUAGAAGAGAAAAUGCCAAUUUUUCUUUCUCUAACUAAAUUUAUCUUUAAUGAUUUAAG
Ceratotherium simum simum (southern white rhinoceros) is the source of this 1839-nucleotide non-coding RNA. NCBI's taxonomy places the organism in Eukaryota, Metazoa, Chordata, Mammalia, Perissodactyla, Rhinocerotidae. The record is from RefSeq and is a predicted model, not a curated record.